This 470-nucleotide ribosomal RNA is filed under the name Harrimania kupfferi. Its description in RNAcentral is "partial large subunit ribosomal RNA". Lineage: Eukaryota; Metazoa; Hemichordata; Enteropneusta; Harrimaniidae. The record is from RNAcentral.
GCUAUGAGACUCAGAUCACGUAGGUCUUUAAUGGUCGAACAGCAAUUGAUAGCGGCUGCACCAUCAGGAGGACCCGAUCCAACAUGAGGUCGCAAACCCCUUCGACAAUGCGGACUUUAGAAGGGAUUACGCUGUUAUCCNUGCGGUAACUUAGUUCAUNGAUCGGNUGGUCCGGAUNGUAUAUUGUUGUUGCAUGGGUCGAUUUGAGGUNUAGAUGUGUAAUUACGGGAGAUGCUUUUAUCCCGUGGUUGCCCCAACCAAAGAGGGGUGGGAAGGGGAGGGAAAGAGGGUAGGCGAGUUUAGUAGGGUAGUAGCAGUAGUCGGCGGGUAAGCUUAUUCUCUUGUCCUUUAAKCUCGACAGGGUCUUCUYGUCUUGCAUUUUUAUGGCNSMUUYWGCACSGCCAGAGAAKYYUCAGSUGUAAGGGGGGAGACAGUCAGGCCCURGUGUAUGCCAUUGAUAYCGGUCCYUA